RNAcentral lists this ribosomal RNA (253 nucleotides) under uncultured bacterium. Its description in RNAcentral is "partial 16S ribosomal RNA". It matches the Rfam family "Bacterial small subunit ribosomal RNA", at positions 524 to 776 of the family's 1533-position model. The record is from RNAcentral.
GACGGAGGGUGCAAGCGUUGCUCGGAUUUACUGGGCGUAAAGGGCGCGUAGGCGGCUUGGUAAGUCUGAUGUGAAAGCCCACGACUCAAUCGUGGAAGUGCAUUGGAUACUGCUAGGCUAGAAUGCAGGAGAGGUGAGCGGAAUUCCAGGUGUAGAGGUGAAAUUCGUAGAUAUCUGGAGGAACAACGGUGGCGAAGGCGGCUCACUGGACUGAUAUUGACGCUGAGGCGCGAAAGUGUGGGGAGCAAACGGG